RNAcentral lists this ribosomal RNA (324 nucleotides) under uncultured eukaryote. RNAcentral describes it as "partial 18S ribosomal RNA". It matches the Rfam family "Eukaryotic small subunit ribosomal RNA", at positions 1470 to 1796 of the family's 1831-position model. The record is from RNAcentral.
CCCUUAGAUGUUCUGGGCCGCACGCGUGCUACACUGAGUGGAUCAGCGGGUCAGGUUGCGCGAAAGCGUUUCCUAAUCUUUAAAUCCGCUCGUGAUGGGGAUUGACGGUUGCAAUUUUCUGUCAUGAACGAGGAAUACCUUGUAAGCGCGGGUCAUCAUCCCGCGCUGAAUACGUCCCUGCCCUUUGUACACACCGCCCGUCGCUACUACCGAUUGGAUGGUUUAGUGAGAUCCUCGGAUUGGUCCCGGAGCGGCCUCUGGUCGUGCCGGAGUGCCGAAAAGAAUGUCGAACUUGAUCAUCUAGAGGAAGUAAAAGUCGUAACA